Molecule: unclassified non-coding RNA, 295 nt
Filed under: uncultured fungus
Lineage: Eukaryota; Fungi
Description: partial contains 5.8S ribosomal RNA, internal transcribed spacer 2, and large subunit ribosomal RNA
Rfam family: 5.8S ribosomal RNA (bases 1-52)
Source: RNAcentral
AACGCACCUUGCACUCCUUGGUAUUCCGAGGAGUAUGCCUGUUUGAGUGUCAUUAAAUUCUCAAGAUCUUAAAUUGUUGUAAUGACGAGGCAAGAUUUUGGAUGUGGAGAUUGCAGGCUCUCGUAGUUUGCUUCUCUUAAAAGCAUUAGUGGUUACUGUUCCCCACUUUGGUGUGAUAAUUAUCUACGCCUUGUAGGUGGGGAUGUUAAGUGUAGCUGCCUUCGAACAGUCUAGGAAUACUGGACAAUUUGAACCAUUUGACCUCAAAUCAGGUAGGAUUACCCGCUGAACUUAA